RNAcentral lists this non-coding RNA (116 nucleotides) under Heterosigma akashiwo. The record is from RNAcentral. Lineage: Eukaryota; Raphidophyceae; Chattonellales; Chattonellaceae.
UUGUGUUGCCGUUGAUACCCGCGCCCAUGUCGUCUGUGUGACAGAGAGUCAUCUUGAUCGUGAUGAUUCGAUUGAUGACAUUUCGAUACCAGAAGGGUACUAUGUAGCUGCUCGAA